This 465-nucleotide ribosomal RNA is filed under the name Vreelandella stevensii. RNAcentral describes it as "partial 16S ribosomal RNA". It matches the Rfam family "Bacterial small subunit ribosomal RNA", at positions 338 to 795 of the family's 1533-position model. Lineage: Bacteria; Pseudomonadati; Pseudomonadota; Gammaproteobacteria; Oceanospirillales; Halomonadaceae. The record is from RNAcentral.
CCUACGGGAGGCUGCAGUGGGGAAUAUUGGACAAUGGGCGAAAGCCUGAUCCAGCCAUGCCGCUUGUGUGAAGAAGGCCUUCGGGUUGUAAAGCACUUUCAGUGGGGAAGAAAGCCUUGGGGCUAAUACCCUCGAGGAAGGACAUCACCCACAGAAGAAGCACCGGCUAACUCCGUGCCAGCAGCCGCGGUAAUACGGAGGGUGCGAGCGUUAAUCGGAAUUACUGGGCGUAAAGCGCGCGUAGGCGGUCUGAUAAGCCGGUUGUGAAAGCCCCGGGCUCAACCUGGGAACGGCAUCCGGAACUGUCAGGCUAGAGUGCAGGAGAGGAAGGUAGAAUUCCCGGUGUAGCGGUGAAAUGCGUAGAGAGCGGGAGGAAUACCAGUGGCGAAGGCGGCCUUCUGGACUGACACUGACGCUGAGGUGCGAAAGCGUGGGUAGCAAACAGGAUUAGAUACCCUGGUAGUC